AGAGUUUGAUCAUGGCUCAGGAUGAACGCUGGCGGCGUGCUUAACACACGCAAGUCGAACGAACCUUCGGGUUAGUGGCGGACGGGUGAGUAACGCGUGGGAAUCUGCCCUCAGGAGGGGGAUAACGGUUGGAAACGGCCGCUAAUACCCCAUAUGCCGAGAGGUGAAAUGAAUUUCGCCUGAGGAUGAGCCCGCGUCUGAUUAGCUAGUUGGUGAGGUAAGAGCUCACCAAGGCAUCGAUCAGUAGCUGGUCUGAGAGGAUGAUCAGCCACACUGGGACUGAGACACGGCCCAGACUCCUACGGGAGGCAGCAGUGGGGAAUUUUCCGCAAUGGGCGAAAGCCUGACGGAGCAACGCCGCGUGAGGGAUGAAGGCCUCUGGGCUGUAAACCUCUUUUAUCAAGGAAGAAGAUCUGACGGUACUUGAUGAAUAAGCCACGGCUAAUUCCGUGCCAGCAGCCGCGGUAAUACGGGAGUGGCAAGCGUUAUCCGGAAUUAUUGGGCGUAAAGCGUCCGCAGGCGGCCCAACAAGUCUGCUGUUAAAAAGUGGAGCUUAACUCCAUCAUGGCAGUGGAAACUGUUGGGCUCGAGUGUGGUAGGGGCAGAGGGAAUUCCCGGUGUAGCGGUGAAAUGCGUAGAUAUCGGGAAGAACACCAGUGGCGAAGGCGCUCUGCUGGGCCAUCACUGACGCUCAUGGACGAAAGCCAGGGGAGCGAAAGGGAUUAGAUACCCCUGUAGUCCUGGCCGUAAACGAUGAACACUAGGUGUCGGGGGAAUCGACCCCUCCGGUGUCGUAGCCAACGCGUUAAGUGUUCCGCCUGGGGAGUACGCACGCAAGUGUGAAACUCAAGGAAUUGACGGGGG
Molecule: ribosomal RNA, 864 nt
Filed under: uncultured bacterium
Lineage: Bacteria
Description: bacterial SSU rRNA
Rfam family: Bacterial small subunit ribosomal RNA
Source: RNAcentral